CGUGCCAGCAGCCGCGGUAAGGAGGGUGCGAGCGUUAAUCGGAAUUACUGGGCGUAAAGCGCAGCAGGUGGUUCAUUAAGUCAGAUGUGAAAGCCCGGGGCUCAACCUCGGAACUGCAUUUGAAACUGGUGAACUAGUUGUUCAGUAGAGGGGGGUAGAAUUUCGAGUGUAGCGGGNAAAGUGCCUUAAUNUGAAGGAAUACCAGUGGCGAAGGCGGCCCCCUGGACAGAAACUGACACUCAGGAGCGAAAAGGGG
RNAcentral lists this ribosomal RNA (256 nucleotides) under bacterium AV-V-6. RNAcentral's name for it is "partial 16S ribosomal RNA". It matches the Rfam family "Bacterial small subunit ribosomal RNA", at positions 504 to 763 of the family's 1533-position model. The record is from RNAcentral.